CGGAGAGUUUGAUCCUGGCUCAGGAUGAACGCUGGCGGCGUGCCUAAUACAUGCAAGUCGGACGGAGUUAUCAGAGAUGAUAGCUCAGUGGCGAACGGGUGAGUAACGCGUUGGUGACCUGCCCCGAAGAGCGGGAUAACAGAUCGAAAGGUCUGCUAAUACCGCAUGAUCUCUCACGGGUUAGAGGGGUGAGAGGAAAGGCCGAAAGGCGCUUUGGGAGGGGCCUGCGUCCCAUCAGCUAGUUGGCGGGGUAAGAGCCCACCAAGGCGAUGACGGGUAGGGGGCCUGAGAGGGUGACCCCCCACAAUGGAACUGAAACACGGUCCAUACACCUACGGGUGGCAGCAGUAGGGAAUAUUGGGGAAUGGGCGAAAGCCUGACCCAGCAACGCCGCGUGCGCGAAGAAGGCCUUCGGGUUGUAAAGCGCUUUUCUCAGGGAUGAGGAAGGACAGUACCUGAGGAAUAAGUCUCGGCUAACUACGUGCCAGCAGCCGCGGUAACACGUAGGAGACGAGCGUUAUCCGGAUUUACUGGGUGUAAAGCGCGUGUAGGCGGCGAGGUAAGUUGGAUGUGAAAGCUCCUGGCUUAACUGGGAGAGGUCGUUCAAGACUGCCUGGCUAGAGUGCAGCAGAGGGGAGUGGAAUUCCGAGUGUAGCGGUAAAAUGCAUAGAUAUUCGGAAGAACACCAGUGGCGAAGGCGGCUCUCUGGGCUGCAACUGACGCUCAGACGCGAAAGCUAGGGGAGCGAACGGGAUUAGAGACCCCGGUAGUCCUAGCCGUAAACGAUGUGAACUAGGCGUAGGCGGGUUGAAAUCCGACUGUGCCGGAGCGAACGCGAUAAGUUCACCACCUGGGGACUACGGCCGCAAGGUUAAAACUCAAAGGAAUUGACGGGGGCCCGCACAAGCAGCGGAGCGUGUGGUUUAAUUCGAUGCUACACGAAGAACCUU
RNAcentral lists this ribosomal RNA (950 nucleotides) under Anaerolinea thermolimosa. Its description in RNAcentral is "bacterial SSU rRNA". It matches the Rfam family "Bacterial small subunit ribosomal RNA", at positions 1 to 972 of the family's 1533-position model. Lineage: Bacteria; Bacillati; Chloroflexota; Anaerolineae; Anaerolineales; Anaerolineaceae. The record is from RNAcentral.